AACGAACGCUGGCGGCAUGCCUAACACAUGCAAGUCGAACGAGACCUUCGGGUCUAGUUGCGCACGGGUUCGUAACGCGAGGGAACCUUCCCUUAGGUGCGGAAUAACUCCCCGAAAGGGGUGCUAAUACCGGAUAAUGGCUUCUGACCAAAGAUUUAUCGCCUUUGGAUGGGCCCGCGUUGGAUUAGCUAUUUGGUAGGGUAAAAGACUACCAAGGCGACGAUCCAUAGCUGGUCUGAGAGGAUGAUCAGCCACACUGGGACUGAGACACGGCCCAGACUCCUACGGGAGGAAGAAGUGGGGAAUAUUGGACAAUGGGCGAAAGCAUGAUCCAGCAAUGCCGCGUGAGUGAUGAAGGACUUAGGGUUGUAAAGCUCUUUUACAAGGGAUGAUAAUGACAGUACCGGGAGAAUAAGCUCCGGCUAACUCCGUG
This 433-nucleotide ribosomal RNA is filed under the name uncultured bacterium. Its description in RNAcentral is "partial 16S ribosomal RNA". It matches the Rfam family "Bacterial small subunit ribosomal RNA", at positions 29 to 507 of the family's 1533-position model. The record is from RNAcentral.